Molecule: ribosomal RNA, 253 nt
Filed under: uncultured bacterium
Lineage: Bacteria
Description: partial 16S ribosomal RNA
Rfam family: Bacterial small subunit ribosomal RNA
Source: RNAcentral
UACGGGGGGUGCGAGCGUUGUCCGGAAUCACUGGGCGUAAAGGGCGCGUAGGUGGUUUGAUAAGGGUGUGGUGAAAGCCCGGGGCUCAACCCCGGGUCUGCCGUGCCGACUGUCAAACUCGAGGGCUGUAGAGGCAGACGGAAUUCCGGGUGUAGCGGUGGAAUGCGUAGAGAUCCGGAGGAACACCCGUAGCGAAGGCGGCACUCUGGGCCGAUACUGACACUGAGGAGCGAAAGCGUGGGGAGCGAACAGG